UACAGAGGGGGCAAGCGUUGUUCGGAAUUACUGGGCGUAAAGGGCGCGUAGGCGGCCUUCUAAGUCGAACGUGAAAUCCCUGGGCUCAACCCAGGAACUGCGUCCGAUACUGAAAGGCUUGAAUCCGGGAGAGGGAUGCGGAAUUCCUGGUGUAGCGGUGAAAUGCGCAGAUAUCAGGAGGAACACCGAUGGCGAAGGCAGGUCUCUGGGCAUUAACUGACGCUGAGGAGCGAAAGCAUGGGGAGCGAACAGG
This 253-nucleotide ribosomal RNA is filed under the name uncultured bacterium. RNAcentral describes it as "partial 16S ribosomal RNA". It matches the Rfam family "Bacterial small subunit ribosomal RNA", at positions 524 to 776 of the family's 1533-position model. The record is from RNAcentral.